CAGUCGCCGCGGGAAUACGGAGGGUGCAAGCGUUAAUCGGAAUUACUGGGCGUAAAGCGCACGCAGGCGGUCUGACAAGUCAGAUGUGAAAUCCCCGGGCUUAACCUGGGAACUGCAUUUGAAACUGUCAGGCUGGAGUCUUGUAGAGGGGGGUGGAAUUCCAGGUGUAGCGGUGAAAUGCGUAGAGAUCUGGAGGAAUACCGGUGGCGAAGGCGGCCCCCUGGACAAAGACUGACGCUCAGGUGCGAAAGCGUGGGGAGCAAACAGGAUUAGAUACCCGAGUAGUCCCUGUCUCUUAUAA
This 301-nucleotide ribosomal RNA is filed under the name uncultured bacterium. RNAcentral's name for it is "partial 16S ribosomal RNA". It matches the Rfam family "Bacterial small subunit ribosomal RNA", at positions 509 to 809 of the family's 1533-position model. The record is from RNAcentral.